GAUGAACGCUGGCGGCGUGCCUAACACAUGCAAGUCGAACGUGAGGGGGUAGCAAUAUCCCUGAAAGUGGCGCACGGGUGAGUAAGACGUAGGUGACCUGCCCUGGAGUGGGGGGUAACAGCUAGAAAUGGCUGCUAAUACCGCAUAAUACGAGAAUGCUGGGAAGUGUUCUGGUAAAAGCUCUGGUGCUUCAGGAGGGGCCUGCGGCCGAUUAGCUAGUUGGCGGGGUAAGAGCCCACCAAGGCAGUGAUCGGUAGCUGGUCUGAGAGGACGAUCAGCCACACGGGAACUGAGACACGGUCCCGACUCCUACGGGGGGCAGCAGUGAGGAAUAUUGGGCAAUGGGCGCAAGCCUGACCCAGCAACGCCGCGUGGAGGAAGACGGCCUUCGGGUUGUAAACUCCUUUUACGGGGGAAGAGGAAGGACGGUACCCCGCGAAUAAGUCACGGCUAACUACGUGCCAGCAGCCGCAGUAAC
Molecule: ribosomal RNA, 478 nt
Filed under: uncultured bacterium
Lineage: Bacteria
Description: bacterial SSU rRNA
Rfam family: Bacterial small subunit ribosomal RNA
Source: RNAcentral